This 408-nucleotide ribosomal RNA is filed under the name Amblyomma triste. RNAcentral describes it as "partial 16S ribosomal RNA". Lineage: Eukaryota; Metazoa; Arthropoda; Arachnida; Ixodida; Ixodidae. The record is from RNAcentral.
GGUAUUUUGACUAUACAAAGGUAUUGAAAUAAGACUUUAAUUGAGUGCUAAGAGAAUGGAAUUUCAUAAAAUUUCUUUUUUAAUUUUAAAAAUUGAAAUUAAUUUUAUAUGUGAAGAAACAAUAAUAAAAAUUAAGGACAAGAAGACCCUAAGAAUUUUAAAGAUUUCAAUAAAAUACAAAAUUUUAUUGAAAUCUUUUAAUUGGGGCGAUUAUUAAAUAUUAAAAACUUUAAUUUUUUUAAAAAAGAACCAAUAAUAUUGGUUAUUUGAAAAAAUACUCUAGGGAUAACAGCGUAAUAAUUUUUGAUAGUUCUUAUAGACAAAAUAGUUUGCGACCUCGAUGUUGGAUUAGGAUUCUUUUUUAAUGAAGAAGUUAAAAAAAGAAGUUUGUUCAACUUUUAAAAUCCU